This 484-nucleotide ribosomal RNA is filed under the name uncultured bacterium. RNAcentral describes it as "partial 16S ribosomal RNA". It matches the Rfam family "Bacterial small subunit ribosomal RNA", at positions 30 to 507 of the family's 1533-position model. The record is from RNAcentral.
AUUGAACGCUGGCGGCAGGCCUAACACAUGCAAGUCGAGCGGAUGAAGGGAGCUUGCUCCUGGAUUCAGCGGCGGACGGGUGAGUAAUGCCUAGGAAUCUGCCUGGUAGUGGGGGAUAACGUCCGGAAACGGGCGCUAAUACCGCAUACGUCCUGAGGGAGAAAGGGGGGGAUCUUCGGACCUCACGCUAUCAGAUGAGCCUAGGUCGGAUUAGCUAGUUGGUGGGGUAAAGGCCUACCAAGGCGACGAUCCGUAACUGGUCUGAGAGGAUGAUCAGUCACACUGGAACUGAGACACGGUCCAGACUCCUACGGGAGGCAGCAGUGGGGAAUAUUGGACAAUGGGCGAAAGCCUGAUCCAGCCCUGCCGCGUGUGUGAAGAAGGUCUUCGGAUUGUAAAGCACUUUAAGUUGGGAGGAAGGGCAGUAAGUUAAUACCUUGCUGUUUUGACGUUACCAACAGAAUAAGCACCGGCUAACUUCGUG